GAUGAAGAACGCAGCGAAAUGCGAUACGUAAUGUGAAUUGCAGAAUUCAGUGAAUCAUCGAAUCUUUGAACGCAUAUUGCGCUCUCUGGUAUUCCGGAGAGCAUGCUUGUUUGAGUAUCAGUAAACACCUCAACUCCCCUUUCUUUUUUUGAAAUGGGAGCUGGACUUGAGUGAUCCCAACGCUUUUCUCACCGAAAAGUGGCGAGUUACUUGAAAUGCAGGUGCAGCUGGACUUUUCUCUGAGCUAAAAGCAUAUCUAUUUAGUCUGCCUAAAAAACAGAUUAUUACCUUUGCUGCAGCUAACAUAAAGGAGAUUAGUUCUUGUGCUGACUGAUGCAGGAUUCACAGAGACAGCUUCGGCUGGCCUUUGUAAACUCGAUCUCAAAUCAAGUAAGACUACCCGCUGAACUUAAGCAUAUCAAUAAGCGGAGGA
This 433-nucleotide unclassified non-coding RNA is filed under the name soil metagenome. Its description in RNAcentral is "partial contains 5.8S ribosomal RNA, internal transcribed spacer 2, and large subunit ribosomal RNA". The stretch from base 1 to 120 matches the Rfam family "5.8S ribosomal RNA", at positions 35 to 154 of the family's 154-position model. The record is from RNAcentral.